RNAcentral lists this ribosomal RNA (93 nucleotides) under Herpestes sanguineus (slender mongoose). Its description in RNAcentral is "Galerella sanguinea (slender mongoose) partial 16S ribosomal RNA". Lineage: Eukaryota; Metazoa; Chordata; Mammalia; Carnivora; Herpestidae. The record is from RNAcentral.
GAACAAAACAACCUCCGAGUGAUUUUAAAUCUAGACCUACCAGUCAAAAGUACUACAUCACUUAUUGAUCCAAAACAUUUGAUCAACGGAACA